GGGGAUGAUCGGUUUCGACAUCGCCUGCAAAACCGAGAGAAGCGGGCCGAGGAUGCAGGGUUAUCUCGUAAACGAUCUCUGCAAAACACAAGUGCCAAUUCCAAGCGCACUGACUUCGCUCUCGCUGCUUAAGCGAGUUUGAGAGUCCGUCAGACCGGAUGCGUUCCCGUUCCGGAUCCUGGCGUCAUUUAGGGGACUUGCUGCGCACCGGCGUUCGGACGGUGUGUGGGACUUUUCCCGGACUGGGCCCGUCGACCUAGAUGCCUGUGGCAAAGGUCGGGGCCGAGUAGAACGUCUGCACAGGAUACGCCCGUAGAAGGCUCGGAAUUACAGCGAUGGACGGGGGUUCAAUUCCCCCCAUCUCCACCA
Molecule: transfer-messenger RNA, 369 nt
Filed under: Labedella endophytica
Lineage: Bacteria; Bacillati; Actinomycetota; Actinomycetes; Micrococcales; Microbacteriaceae
Description: Standard tmRNA
Rfam family: transfer-messenger RNA
About the family: Bacterial tmRNA, also known as 10Sa RNA or SsrA, is named for its dual tRNA and mRNA-like properties. Its role is to liberate the mRNA from a stalled ribosome. To accomplish this part of the tmRNA is used as a reading frame that ends in a translation stop signal.
Source: RNAcentral